Molecule: ribosomal RNA, 443 nt
Filed under: uncultured bacterium
Lineage: Bacteria
Description: partial 16S ribosomal RNA
Rfam family: Bacterial small subunit ribosomal RNA
Source: RNAcentral
CCUACGGGUGGCAGCAGUGGGGAAUAUUGGACAAUGGGGGGAACCCUGAUCCAGCGACGCCGCGUGAGUGAAGAAGUCUUUCGGUAUGUAAAGCUCUUUUAGCAGGGAAGAAAGAAAUGACGGUACCUGACUAAGAAGCCCCGGCUAACUACGUGCCAGCAGCCGCGGUAAUACGUAGGGGGCAAGCGUUAUCCGGAUUUACUGGGUGUAAAGGGAGCGUAGACGGCGAUGCAAGUCUGAAGUGAAAGGCCGGGGCGCAACCCCGGGACUGCAUUGGAAACUGUUUGGCGUGAGUGAAGGAGAGGUAAGUGGAAUUCCUAGUGUAGCGGUGAAAUGCGUAGAUAUUAGGAGGAACACCAGUGGCGAAGGCGGCUUACUGGACUGUAACUGACGUUGAGGCGCGAAAGCGUGGGGAGCAAACAGGAUUAGAUACCCGUGUAGUC